RNAcentral lists this ribosomal RNA (429 nucleotides) under Pseudomonadota bacterium. Its description in RNAcentral is "Proteobacteria bacterium partial 16S ribosomal RNA". It matches the Rfam family "Bacterial small subunit ribosomal RNA", at positions 355 to 776 of the family's 1533-position model. The record is from RNAcentral. Lineage: Bacteria; Pseudomonadati; Pseudomonadota.
UGGGGAAUAUUGGACAAUGGGCGAAAGCCUGAUCCAGCCAUGCCGCGUGUGUGAAGAAGGUCUUCGGAUUGUAAAGCACUUUAAGUUGGGAGGAAGGGCAGUAAGCGAAUACCUUGCUGUUUUGACGUUACCGACAGAAUAAGCACCGGCUAACUCUGUGCCAGCAGCCGCGGUAAUACAGAGGGUGCAAGCGUUAAUCGGAAUUACUGGGCGUAAAGCGCGCGUAGGUGGUUCGUUAAGUUGAAUGUGAAAGCCCCGGGCUCAACCUGGGAACGGCAUCCAAAACUGGCGAGCUAGAGUAGGGCAGAGGGUGGUGGAAUUUCCUGUGUGGCGGUGAAAUGCGUAGAUAUAAGAAGGAAAACAAGUGGCGAAGGCGACCACCUGGGCUCAUACUGACACUGAGGUGCGAAAGCGUGGGGAGCAAACAGG